Molecule: ribosomal RNA, 466 nt
Filed under: uncultured bacterium
Lineage: Bacteria
Description: partial 16S ribosomal RNA
Rfam family: Bacterial small subunit ribosomal RNA
Source: RNAcentral
GAUGAACGCUGGCGGCGUGCUUAACACAUGCAAGUCGAACGAUGAAGCCCAGCUUGCUGGGUGGAUUAGUGGCGAACGGGUGAGUAACACGUGAGUAACCUGCCCUUGACUCUGGGAUAAGCCUGGGAAACUGGGUCUAAUACUGGAUAUGACUUCUCAUCGCAUGGUGGGGGGUGGAAAGAUUUAUUGGUCUUGGAUGGACUCGCGGCCUAUCAGCUUGUUGGUGAGGUAAUGGCUCACCAAGGCGACGACGGGUAGCCGGCCUGAGAGGGUGACCGGCCACACUGGGACUGAGACACGGCCCAGACUCCUACGGGAGGCAGCAGUGGGGAAUAUUGCACAAUGGGCGCAUGCCUGAUGCAGCGACGCCGCGUGAGGGAUGACGGCCUUCGGGUUGUAAACCUCUUUCAGUAGGGAAGAAGCGAGAGUGACGGUACCUGCAGAAGAAGCGCCGGCUAACUACGUG